UAUCUCUGUAGAGUCUGCAUAUCAAUAAGCGGAGGAAAAGAAACUAACUAGGAUUCCCUUAGUAACGGCGAGUGAAGCGGGAAGAGCUCAAAUUUGAAAUCUUCAAGGCUUCUACCUUGACGAAUUGUAGUUUAAAGAAGUGUUUUCUGUUGGAGUUUCGGUAAAAGUUCUUUGGAAUAGGACAUCAUAGAGGGUGAGAAUCCCGUAUUUGACCAUUUAUUUCAGCUGUGUGAUACACUCUCAAAGAGUCGGAUUGUUUGGGAAUGCAGUCCAAAAUGGGUGGUAAAUUUCAUCUAAAGCUAAAUAUUGGCGAGAGACCGAUAGCGAACAAGUACCGUGAGGGAAAGAUGAAAAGAACUUUGAAAAGAGAGUUAAACAGUACGUGAAAUUGUCAAAAGGGAAGCGUUUGACACCAGUGUUGUUUUCUCGAAAAUCAAUUAAGAAUGGCUGGAUUUUGUGUUGUAUUGACCUUAUAAGCUUUCUGCACUUUUUUCUAUGUCUUUUUUAAUGCACUUUUCGUUUAACAAGUCAACAUCAAUUUCUUUUGUUGUAAAAGAGUCAUUGGAAGGUGGCUUUCACUUCGGUGAAAGUGUUUAUAGCCUUUGACUUCUGCAAUCGGAGAGAUUGAGGUCUGCAGCGUAGAUCCUUCGGGGUUAGAUACAUUUGUGCUAAGUUAUAGUUUUUCAUAGACAACAUGUUGACUAUGAUUAAUCAUGUAGCUUACUCGCUUAUGCUAUUUUACCUACGCUUAGGAUGUUGAACGCGCACAGAGUCUC
This 776-nucleotide ribosomal RNA is filed under the name uncultured Neocallimastigales. Its description in RNAcentral is "partial large subunit ribosomal RNA". It matches the Rfam family "Eukaryotic large subunit ribosomal RNA", at positions 24 to 611 of the family's 3401-position model. The record is from RNAcentral. Lineage: Eukaryota; Fungi; Neocallimastigomycota; Neocallimastigomycetes; Neocallimastigales.